RNAcentral lists this ribosomal RNA (20 nucleotides) under Hoya lacunosa. RNAcentral describes it as "partial 26S ribosomal RNA". The record is from RNAcentral. Lineage: Eukaryota; Viridiplantae; Streptophyta; Magnoliopsida; Gentianales; Apocynaceae.
CAGGUCAGGCGGGGCUACCC